Molecule: long non-coding RNA, 446 nt
Organism: Amphimedon queenslandica
Lineage: Eukaryota; Metazoa; Porifera; Demospongiae; Haplosclerida; Niphatidae
Exons: 5
Source: RefSeq, a predicted model, not a curated record
AUAUUUAUUUUUUUAUAGACAUUUUAUACCUUGCCAGCGAAUUGGAUCACAAGAGGUUGCUCAUGAGUUUUUGCUUACAUGUGUAGUAGGAGACUAGGAGCUCAAAAUGUCACGAAAAGCUAUCAGUAUUGUUCAUGGUGGUGGACAAAACUCUGGAUGCUAUAUUUGGAGAUGUUGAUAACAUUUCCCCAAGACUAGAUAUAUUAUCAACUCUUUAUUUCCCUUGGCACUACUUAAUGUGACACCAGUAUAUUUCCAGAAUGACAUUCCUGUCAAAUUAUUUUUAGAGAUGAAAAUAGGCUACAAAGUUCUUUGUAAACAUUAAUGCAAAACUCAAUAGAGUAACCUGAAAUCAAAUGUGUGGCUAAACAAGCAUUUAUUCAUGUUUGAACUGUUUUUUUUACAUUUUUGUUUGAGUUAUGAACAUUAUAAAUUGAAGUACAAUU